RNAcentral lists this transfer RNA (71 nucleotides) under Ovis aries (sheep). It matches the Rfam family "tRNA". From Rfam's summary of the family: Transfer RNA (tRNA) molecules are approximately 80 nucleotides in length. Their secondary structure includes four short double-helical elements and three loops (D, anti-codon, and T loops). The record is from Rfam by way of RNAcentral. Lineage: Eukaryota; Metazoa; Chordata; Mammalia; Artiodactyla; Bovidae.
UUGAGGGUGGCUCAGCGGUAAAGAAUCUGCCUGCCAAGCAGAAGAUGCAGGUUUAAUCCCUGGCUUGGAAA